CUGGAGAUGAUGUACACAUGGACAGCUGAUGCUCACUGAUGGUGUUUGUAUUCAUACUGUCUGAUCCAG
Anguilla anguilla (European eel) is the source of this 69-nucleotide small nucleolar RNA. The record is from RefSeq and is a predicted model, not a curated record. NCBI's taxonomy places the organism in Eukaryota, Metazoa, Chordata, Actinopteri, Anguilliformes, Anguillidae.